Molecule: non-coding RNA, 163 nt
Organism: Pocillopora verrucosa
Lineage: Eukaryota; Metazoa; Cnidaria; Anthozoa; Scleractinia; Pocilloporidae
Source: RefSeq, a predicted model, not a curated record
ACAGGAUGGUGCAGUCGAGUAUGCAUUGAGCCCAAGGUCUGGGCGCAAUAACAUAAUUUUGCAAGUCAUGAUGGAGACUAAGAAAAUUCGACAGCAUAUACAUCAAAUGGAAUGGUUGACUGACACAAAUGCAAUUCCACAAAUUCUAUAGGUAAGUGAUGGG